Molecule: ribosomal RNA, 449 nt
Filed under: uncultured bacterium
Lineage: Bacteria
Description: partial 16S ribosomal RNA
Rfam family: Bacterial small subunit ribosomal RNA
Source: RNAcentral
AAUGAACGCUGGCGGCAUGCCUAACACAUGCAAGUCGAACGAAGGCUUCGGCCUUAGUGGCGCACGGGUGCGUAACGCGUGGGAAUCUGCCCUCAGGUUCGGAAUAACAGCGAGAAAUUGCUGCUAAUACCGGAUGAUAUCGCGAGUUCAAAGAUUUAUCGCCGGAGGAUGAGCCCGCGUAGGAUGAGCUAGUUGGUGUGGUAAAGGCGCACCACGGCGACGAUCCUUAGCUGGUCUGAGAGGCUGAUAAGCCACACUGGGCCUGAGACACGGCCCAGACUCCUACGGGAGGCAGCAAUGGUGAAUAUUGGACAAUGGGCGAAGGCCUGAUCCAGCUAUGCCGCGUGAGUGAUGAAGGCCGUAGGGUUGUAAAGCUCUUUUACCCGGGAUGAUAAUGACAGUACCGGGAGAAUAAGCUCCGGCUAACUCCGUGCCAGCCGCCGCCGUAA